GAUCUUUUUCCGUUUACUUUACCUUUUCCGGUCGUCAAGAAGUAUAUACUUGUGUGCGUAGGGGAGAUUACUAGUGUCAUUUGUUAAUUCGACGAAAGGUGGUAAUAUGAUUCCAACUUUUAAAAAAUUGUAAACCAAUACGUUUUUCCAAGUAAAUGUUCAUCGAAACGUGUACUAGAUGGUCGAGGUUGAUACCGCUGCUGGAGG
This 207-nucleotide long non-coding RNA is filed under the name Mytilus galloprovincialis (Mediterranean mussel). The record is from RNAcentral. Lineage: Eukaryota; Metazoa; Mollusca; Bivalvia; Mytilida; Mytilidae.